This 3391-nucleotide long non-coding RNA is filed under the name Sus scrofa (pig). RNAcentral's name for it is "lncRNA (ENSSSCG00045033318.1)". The record is from RNAcentral. Lineage: Eukaryota; Metazoa; Chordata; Mammalia; Artiodactyla; Suidae.
UUUUUUUUUUCAAUUUUAAUUUUUAUGAGGCUUUGCUAAACAAAUAGUUAGAUAUAUACAUUUUUUUCCACUGUACAGCAUGGGGACCAAGCUACACAUACAUGUAUACAUAAUUUUUCCUCCCAUUGUCAUGUGGCAAUAUAAGUAUCUAGACACUACUUAGGCUUUUCAAUCAGAAUUAGACUAGCAGUGUUUCAUACUAGAUUUUUUUUUUUUAAGUCUGAGAAAGUACUUGACUUUUUUUUUAAUUUUUUUUAUCAUUAUUUUUUUUAAUCAUUCUUUAAAAUUAGUAAUGGCUUCAUUAAGGAUUUCUUAAAGAAAAAUUAAGAAUGUUUGAGGAGUUUCCAUCAUGGCUCAACAGAAACAAAUCUGACUAGCAUCCAUGAGGAUACAGGCUUGAUCCCUGGCCUUGCUCAGUGGGUUAAGGAUCCAGCAUUGCUGUGAGCUGUGGUGUAGGUCCCAGAUGCGGCUCAGAGCCCAUGUUGCUUGGCUGUGGUUUAGGCUGACAGCUACAGCUCCAAUUUGACCCCUGGCCUGGGAACUUCCAUAUGCCAUGAGCAUGGCUCUAAAAAUAAAUUUAAAAAAAAGAAUGUUUGAUUAGAAGUUUCCCUGGGACUCGGGAAAAACAAUUCAGUUUGACAUGUAGUUCUGUACAGGUACUAUCACUCAUCUCUUUAAUGUUACCUAAGUUUCAGCUAUAGAUAUAGAAAGGAAGAAGUAGCCUCUGAAGGACUGUGCAAAGCAAAUUCAUAAAGACGUGUGUACUGGGGGAAAAAAGUGCCCCUGGUGAUUGUGAUGUGUGCUCAUAAAUAUUAAUUUGAAGGAAUGGAUUUUCAAUCCCCUAAACUCCACAGUGAAGAACCUCUGGAAGCAAAUUCAAAUUCUGUUGCCAAGUUGUGCUUUCUUGCCCUAAUUUCCAGUUAACUUUAGCAUGCCCACAGGGUACAUGGCAGAGCACUUCAGAUCGUCUAAAGAUUUACCAGACAGAUAUUUCACUUCCUGGUAGGUCCCUGGUUCUGUAAGGUGUUGCCCUGCCCUGGCCGGGAGCCAGGGUACAGACAGGAGAGGCCCUCUUCUUUCCCACAGCCAAUUAAAGGGAAGGGCACAAUAUAAAUCCAGUCUCAUCUUGAGACAUUACAGAAGUGGGGUUAGUUUCUCUCCUUUCAUGGGGACUAAACUGGCCUAGUGAGUGUAACUUUGGGUCAUCAGCCUCCUCUAAAGAGCCUGUGGAGUUCUUUGUACCCCUUUUAGGACAUCAGGGCCAGAGGGAGAAUUCUACCUGCCUACCCCAGAGAGCUGGUUGGGCUCUGGCUCAAAAUGCCACUCCUUUUCUCUCCUCUACUUCCUACAUUGUGUUCAGACAAAGCUUCCAGCAUUAUUUUAACUCUAGUGUUUCUGCCCAAAAGAACUUAUGUGACUUCUCCCUCUACCUGCCCAGUUAGCAGCAAAUGAUGCCCAGGAUUCAAGGACAUGUAAUUUUCCCUGGGAACUUCACAAAUGUUAAGAGAGAGGGAUGGAAGUCUAAGCGAUACUGUACCAUCUUCAAAUCAACUAAAGUAUAGUGUUUGGAGCUUUGAGAUUCUAGAGCUUAGGUUCAAAAAUGUUGCCAAAAUUCAAGCUAAGUAUCAAUGGGGUUACUCAUAUAUGAAUACCCCAAAUUUUAGUUCUCCAAUCCUGCUAGUCUGUUAUGUAAGGUCUUGGAGCAUCAAGAUUAAGAUUAGUGGUGUAAUUGUGACUUCAUUUGUGUAAUCCAGUUUGUAAAGUCUGAGACCUAAGAGUCACCAGCAGCUCUGUGUCACUGUCAUUCUGAUCAAGUCAUCUAUGCCUGGUGGACCUUCGUUGCCUCAGGCACUAUUAUUGCAUCUUAGCGGAGCCAGAUACCUGAUUGUAUCACUGCUGAGACUUCACAACCCAAGCCCCAACAAUUCCGUUGGGAUGCAGCUUUAAGCUAGCCUCGAAUUCCACUGGAUUUAGUAUAGAUCAACUUCAAUUCAUUAGGCAGCACUGCUCUGUGCUAGGGUCCGGAGGGGGAUGCUCCACAAUAAAGAUGUCUGGACUCCAUGGUAUAUUCUCUGGGACUAAGCUAAAGUCAUUUGAAUUAAGACCAGACCCUCACAUUACCCUAAGCUCAGUGUACCACUGUCAUGCUGAUAUUAUCUAGAGUGAAUGGAGCCAAGCCCUCUGCCCGUUAGCCCAGAACCUGACAUCCUCCAGGAGGUGGGUGGGACUAAUCCACUCUGCAUUCUCAUCCCUGUUUUCCUUGCCACCUAAGUCACUGGUCUUCCAUUAUAUCCACAGUCUGAAAGUGUGGUCCUUGGACCAAAGCAUUCACAUCACUUGGGCACUUGUUGUGCAGAUUCUCAGGUCCAUCUCAGAUCUACUCAAUCAGAAACUCUGGGAGUGGGGCCCAGCAAUCUGUGUCUUAACAAGCCCUCCCCAUGGCUGUGACGCACAGUAAAGGUUAAGAAUGACUGCGCUAUACCAUCAUCCCCGAAUCCUCCCUGUUUCCUUGUUCCUGUGGCUAUUCCUCAUUGUUCUAAUACACACCUCCCCACCCUAGCUCUCCAAUGUGCCCUCUGGAGUACCUGCUUGUGAUCAGCAAAUUCCUCUGUAUCUAUGACAUUUUCCAGGAAUGUCCUCCACACCUCCUUGCAUUAAUUGAAACCCAUUCUUUUGCAGAGCAGCCCUCUGUGGUGGUGGAUCUGUACUCAUAUCCAUUUACUGCAGGACAGGUCCUCGUCCUCCUUCUCUCCAUCACUAUGUCUAGACCAUGACUUCUACCCCACCCUCUUGUAAAAACUCCUACUACUCCUUUGAGGCUCAUGCCUUGUGGUUAUACCACCCUUCCCCCUCCUUAUUAUUCAAAUAUUUUGUACCAGGCUCAUCCUGGGUCGCUUCAAAAUCCAUAAUAAUGGCUAUCAACCAAGCCUCCAAUUUCUUGACUAUCUUAUCUCCACUGACCAUUUCCUUUGUCCUCUUCCAUUGACUUCUGCAGUUAUAUUUAGUACUUUUGUCCCUUGAAAUUGCUUUAUCUCCCAAAUCAAAAAUACAAGCAUCCCUUGGAGCUCCCUUUGUGGCUCAGUGGUUAAUGAACCCAACUAAGAUCCAUGUGGUUGCAGGCUCAGUCCCUGGCCUCGCUCAGUGAGUUAAGGAUCCAGCAUUGCCAUGAGCUGUGGUGUCAGGUGCAGACGUGGCUCAGAGCUGGUGUGUCUGCGGCUGUAGCAUAGGCCAGCAGCUGUGGCCCCAAUUCAACCCCUAGCCUGGAAUCUUCCAUAUGCGACGGUGUGGCCCUAAAAAGCAAAAAAAAAAAAAGAGAGAGAGAGACAGACAUAAAAAAAUACAAGCAUCCCAUCCCCCAGCCACAAAUUCUUGUAUUACAUUUGCUCAGUCA